Molecule: ribosomal RNA, 423 nt
Filed under: uncultured bacterium
Lineage: Bacteria
Description: bacterial SSU rRNA
Rfam family: Bacterial small subunit ribosomal RNA
Source: RNAcentral
UAGGGAAUAUUGCUCAAUGGGGGAAACCCUGAAGCAGCAACGCCGCGUGGAGGAUGAAGGUUUUAGGAUUGUAAACUGCUUUUGUACGAGGGUAAAUUCAGGUACGUGUAUCUGUUUGAAAGUAUCGUACGAAUAAGGAUCGGCUAACUCCGUGCCAGCAGCCGCGGUAAUACGGAGGGUGCAAGCGUUACUCGGAAUCACUGGGCGUAAAGAGCGCGUAGGCGGGAGAGUAAGUCAGAUGUGAAAUCCUGUAGCUUAACUACAGAACUGCAUUUGAAACUACUUUUCUAGAGUAUGGGAGAGGUAGGUGGAAUUCUUGGUGUAGGGGUAAAAUCCGUAGAGAUCAAGAGGAAUACUCAUUGCGAAGGCGACCUGCUGGAACAUUACUGACGCUGAUGCGCGAAAGCGUGGGGAGCAAACAGG